This 1315-nucleotide ribosomal RNA is filed under the name uncultured archaeon. Its description in RNAcentral is "bacterial SSU rRNA". It matches the Rfam family "Archaeal small subunit ribosomal RNA", at positions 24 to 1326 of the family's 1478-position model. The record is from RNAcentral.
CCACUGCUAUCGGGGUGGGACUAAGCCAUGCAAGUCUAUGCUCACCCUCGUGGGCAUGGCGUACGGCUCAGUAACACGUAGCUAACCUGCCCUAGAGAGGGGGAUAUCCUCGGGAAACUGAGGGUAAACCCCCAUAGGUAACGAGUUCUGGAAUGACUCGUUACCGAAAGUAGGCUAGGAGAAUGGUCCUAGCCUAGCUCUAGGAUGGGGCUGCGGCCGAUCAGGUAGUUGGUGAGGUAACGGCUCACCAAGCCUGUGACCGGUGCGGGCCGUGAGAGCGGGAGCCCGGAGAUGGACUCUGAGACAAGAGUCCAGGCCCUACGGGGCGCAGCAGGCGCGAAACCUCCGCAAUGCGCGCAAGCGCGACGGGGUCACCCCGAGUGCCACCUUUAUGGUGGCUUUUGCCUAGUGUAAAAAGCUAGGCGAAUAAGGGGGGGGCAAGACGGGUGUCAGCCGCCGCGGUAAUACCCGCUCCCCGAGUGGUGGGGACUUUUAUUGGGCUUAAAGCGUCCGUAGCGGGCCUAGUAAGUUUCCCGUUAAAUCCAGUGGCCUAACCACUGGACUGCGGGAAAUACUGCUAGGCUUGGGGGUGGAAGAAGCCACCGGUACUCCUAGGGUAGGGGUAAAAUCCUCUGAUCCUAGGAGGACCACCAGUGGCGAAGGCGGGUGGCUAGGACACGCCCGACCGUGAGGGACGAAAGCUGGGGGAGCAAACGGGAUUAGAUACCCCGGUAGUCCCAGCUGUAAACGAUGCAGACUAGGUGUAGGAGUGGCUACGGGCCACUCCUGUGCCGAAGGGAAACCAUUAAGUCUGCCGCCUGGGGAGUACGGCCGCAAGGCUGAAACUUAAAGGAAUUGGCGGGGGAGCACCACAAGGGGUGGAUGUUGCGGCUUAAUUGGAGUCAACGCCGGAAACCUUACCAGGGGAGACAGCAGGAUGAAGGCCAGGUUAAAGGCCUUGCCAGACAAGCUGAGAGGAGGUGCAUGGCCGUCGCCAGUGCGUGCCGUGAGGCGUCCUGUUAAUUCAGGCAACGGACGAGACCCCCACCCCUAGUUGCUACCAGAUACGAAAGUAUCUGGGCACUCUAGGGGGACUGCCGCCGAAAGGCGGAGGGAAGGAGGGGGCCACGGCAGGUCAGUAUGCCCCGAAUCCCCUGGGCCGCACGCGACAUUCAAUGGUAGGGACAGUGGGUUCCGACCCCGAAAGGGGAAGGCAAUCCCUAAACCCUACCUAGGUUGGGAUCGAGGGUUGCAACUCGCCCUCGUGAACGUGGAAUCCCUAGUAAUCGCGCGCCACCAUCGCGCGGUGAAUACU